The sequence is a regulatory RNA element, 102 nucleotides long. It matches the Rfam family "SAM riboswitch aptamer (S box leader)". From Rfam's summary of the family: The SAM riboswitch is found upstream of a number of genes which code for proteins involved in methionine or cysteine biosynthesis in Gram-positive bacteria. The SAM riboswitch acts at the level of transcription termination control. The record is from Rfam.
UCUUUAUCCAGAGUGCUUGAGGGAUCUGGCCCGAUGACAGCACAGCAACCUACCACAAAGCAAGGUGCUAAUUCCAGCAGCAAGUAGCUGAGUAGAUAAGGA